This 523-nucleotide ribosomal RNA is filed under the name uncultured bacterium. RNAcentral describes it as "bacterial SSU rRNA". It matches the Rfam family "Bacterial small subunit ribosomal RNA", at positions 501 to 1028 of the family's 1533-position model. The record is from RNAcentral.
CUACGUGCCAGCAGCCGCGGUAAUACGGAGGAUGCGAGCGUUAUCCGGAUUUAUUGGGUUUAAAGGGUGCGUAGGCGGCCUGUUAAGUCAGCGGUGAAAUCUAGGAGCUUAACUCCUAAAUUGCCAUUGAUACUGGCGGGCUUGAGUGUAGAUGAGGUAGGCGGAAUGCGUGGUGUAGCGGUGGAAUGCAUAGAUAUCACGCAGAACUCCGAUUGCGAAGGCAGCUUACUAAGGUACAACUGACGCUGAAGCACGAAAGCGUGGGUAUCAAACAGGAUUAGAUACCCUGGUAGUCCACGCUGUAAACGAUGAUAACUGGGCGUAUGCGAUAUACAGUAUGCUCCUAAGCGAAAGCGUUAAGUUAUCCACCUGGGGAGUACGCCGGCAACGGUGAAACUCAAAGGAAUUGACGGGGGCCCGCACAAGCGGUGGAGCAUGUGGUUUAAUUCGAAGCAACGCGAAGAACCUUACCAGGUCUUGACAUCCCUCUGACCGCUCUAGAGAUAGAGUUUUCUUCGGGACA